Molecule: ribosomal RNA, 515 nt
Filed under: uncultured bacterium
Lineage: Bacteria
Description: partial 16S ribosomal RNA
Rfam family: Bacterial small subunit ribosomal RNA
Source: RNAcentral
GAUGAACGCUGGCGGCGUGCCUAAUACAUGCAAGUCGAGCGAAUGGAUUAAGAGCUUGCUCUUAUGAAGUUAGCGGCGGACGGGUGAGUAACACGUGGGUAACCUGCCCAUAAGACUGGGAUAACUCCGGGAAACCGGGGCUAAUACCGGAUAACAUUUUGAACCGCAUGGUUCGAAAUUGAAAGGCGGCUUCGGCUGCCGCUUAUGGAUGGACCCGCGUCGCAUUAGCUAGUUGGUGAGGUAACGGCUCACCAAGGCAACGAUGCGUAGCCGACCUGAGGGGGUGAUCGGCCACACUGGGACUGAGACACGGCCCAGACUCCUACGGGAGGCAGCAGUAGGGAAUCUUCCGCAAUGGACGAAAGUCUGACGGAGCAACGCCGCGUGAGUGAUGAAGGCUUUCGGGUCGUAAAACUCUGUUGUUAGGGAAGAACAAGUGCUAGUUGAAUAAGCUGGCACCUUGACGGUACCUAACCAGAAAGCCACGGCUAACUACGUGCCAGCCGCCGCGGUAA